This is a long non-coding RNA of Macaca fascicularis (crab-eating macaque), 2071 nucleotides long. The record is from Ensembl. NCBI's taxonomy places the organism in Eukaryota, Metazoa, Chordata, Mammalia, Primates, Cercopithecidae.
GGGGAUCCUCCAGCCCCAGUCAAGCCUUCAAAUAACAACAGUCCUUGGCAAAAGCGUAACUGUAACCACAGCUUGACUGAGCCAGAACCACCCAGUCAAGAUGCUCUCAAAUUCCUGUGAGAGGUAACAUAUGUUUAUUGAUAUUUAAAUGACUAAGAGGAAGGGAGCUGGAGAGACAUUGUGGGAGGAAGAGGUUUUUGCUUCCUGGUUCCAGUGUGCUUGAUUGACAAGCUCCUACUGUGCAAACAGCUUUCAGUGCUCAGUUUCUGGAGUAGCCAGCAACACCCAGAGGCUAGCAGCUUCUCCUGGCACUGCCCACCUUGGGCUGUAGCGUAAGCAGAAUGGCUCCAACUUCUGCCUCACAUAGCACCUGUGUGCAUGUGGCUUCUCCUGCAUCAGGCUCCUGCAGCACCCACAGGUUCUCCAGUGCCGGCUCCCGCAGCACAUGAAGACCAACAGGACCCAGUGAGCAGCAGCUUCCCCUGCACCCCACUCAGUUAGCUCUGUAGUGGAAAGUCUCUAGUUCCACACCUCCCUGGGGAAGAGCUUUCCCUGGCAUCCUAGAGGGCAUAUAUCUGGCAAGUUCCACUGGCAUGACAGUACAGUGACUUUUCUGCCACCUAGUGAGCUGUGGGCUGUGCUCUACUCAACAGGCUCUGGAUCUCGGCCCUGGGUGGGGAGAGGAUACCUCUUUCUUGGGUGCUAUAUCUCAGCCUUGGGAGGUAGGAGCUGCACCUCAUGCCAGCUAUUCAUUAUUCCAUAGGGUUCUCAUAACUCCUUACUAACCAAUUCUUUGUUACUCCAAUUCCCUGUUUUAAUAAUCAUAUUCAAAUUUCCUGUUAAAUUACUAUGCGGUUUCUCUCUUGAUCAGACCCAGACUGAUACACCAAGUUUUCUCAUAAUUUGUUACAUGGCAACAGAUAACUAAUACACCACUCCCAUCUGAUCUGCCCACUGCCAAUUCCUUUCAUUACCAUCAGCCGAUUGCUAUCAUGUGCCUGCCCUGAGCAGCCUUUUCAAGGCUUUGAUAAGCAGUCAGGUAUGUCCUACUGCAGGCAGGCUGGGUACAGUGGCUCAAACCUAUAAUCCCAGCACUUUGUGAGGCCAAGGCAGGCAGAUCGCUUGAGGUCAGGAGUUCAAGACCAGCCUAGCCAACAUGGUGAAACCUGGUCUCUACUAAAAAUACAAAAUUUAGCCAGGCAUGAUGGUGCACAUCCAUAAUCCCAGCUACUUUGGGAGGCUGAGGCAGGAGAAUUGCUUGAACCUGGGAGGCAGAGUUUGCAGUGGGCCAAGAUCGUGCCACUGUACUCCAGCCUGGGCAAUAGAGCAAGACUCCAUCUCAACAACACAAAAAAAUAGCUGGGUAUGGUGAUGGGCACCUGUAAUCCUAGUUACUUAGGAGGCUGAGGCAGGAGAAUCGCCUGGGGAUGCAGAGGUUGCAGUGAACCAAGAUCACGCCACUGCACUCCAGCCUGGGCAACAGAGUGAGACUCCGUCUCAAAAACAAACAAACAAACAAACAAAAACAUAUGUCCUACUUCAAAAAAGAAUAAAAGUACAAAGUAUGUAAGAUUCAAGCUUUAAUUUGCCAAAUGCCAAGUGAGAGUUCAGAUGAGAAGCGCUGCAGGAUGCACCAAAGGCUGGUAUGCUUGAAAAAAGAUCUCGGCUGCAGUGGGACGUCAACGUUGAUGACACUAGAAGGCACAGUCCAGUGGGAAGAAGAGGGAAGGCCAUUCUAGCACUCUAAGCAGCAGGAAAGUUGUAUCAAAAGUAGGCCAGGUGCAGUGACUCAUGCCUGUAAUCCCAGCAUUUUGGAGGCUGAGGCAGGCAGAUCACCUCAGGUCGGGAGUUUGAGACCAGCCUGACCAACAUGAAGAAAUGCUGUCUCUAUUAAAAAUACAAAAUUAGCCGGGUGUGGUGGCGUAUGCAUGUAAUCCCAGCUACUUGGGAGGCUGAGAGGGAGACUCGCUUGAACCCGGGAGGCGGAGGUUGCGGUGAGUCGAGAUUGCGCCAUUGCACUCCAACCUGGACAACAAGAGCAAAACUCUGUCUCAAAAAAAGAAAAAAAAAA